This 233-nucleotide ribosomal RNA is filed under the name uncultured Glomus. Its description in RNAcentral is "partial 18S ribosomal RNA". It matches the Rfam family "Eukaryotic small subunit ribosomal RNA", at positions 548 to 785 of the family's 1831-position model. The record is from RNAcentral. Lineage: Eukaryota; Fungi; Glomeromycota; Glomeromycetes; Glomerales; Glomeraceae.
UUGGAGGGCAAGUCUGGUGCCAGCAGCCGCGGUAAUUCCAGCUCCAAUAGCGUAUAUUAAAGUUGUUGCAGUUAAAAAGCUCGUAGUUGAAUUUCGGGAUCAAUAUGUUGGUCGUGCUUUGGUACGUACUAAUUUAUUGGUUUCUUCCUUCUGACGAACCAUGAUGUUAUUAAUCUGGUGUCUUGGGGAAUCAGGACUGUUACUUUGAAAAAAUUAGAGUGUUUAAAGCAGGC